Molecule: non-coding RNA, 114 nt
Organism: Biomphalaria pfeifferi
Lineage: Eukaryota; Metazoa; Mollusca; Gastropoda; Planorbidae
Source: the annotation of a GenBank genome assembly
AAUAUGCUAAGUCAUUGGUUUUCCUAGCUGACUCAGGCAACCCAUUCCUUUAAAGUGGUAUCACAUUCCGGGCUCACAUAGGUCUCACCAGCCACACGAGGAGACAUAAAACCC